Oreochromis aureus is the source of this 1999-nucleotide long non-coding RNA. Lineage: Eukaryota; Metazoa; Chordata; Actinopteri; Cichliformes; Cichlidae. The record is from Ensembl.
UUCAAAUAAAGAAAAUGCAGCAGUGGGAUAUUAAUAUUACUAAUAAGGUGUAUAGAUAUUUAUUUUAAAACAUCAGCAUAUUAAAUGAUACUGUGUGCACUUGAUAAUAUUUUCAGGAAGUAGAAUUUGAAUGCAGGCCACCUCAAAUGUUAAAGCCUACAAAUAUAUCAUACAAGUUAACUGAAUCUUAACUGAUGCUGAUUUUAGUUGUCUGAUUCUGUAUUUUUUCCUCUUUGUCUUUUGUUACACAGAGUGAAAUACAUCGUUAGUUUUACCUUUGCUGACUGCUGAUCUGAUCGUCUUAGUUUGAGUGAACAGAUCUUUGGUUUUGCCUUUGCUGACUACUGAUCUGAUCGUCUCCACUCUGGUGACCUGCUGCAGACAACCCUCUCCCUCUAUCAUUAUCAAGCAAUUCUGUCUGUCCUAUCACUCUCCCUGCUCUAUCUAAUUUGACAGCCAUUCUAUCUUGUAUCAAUCUAUCCCAUCUGCUCUAUCUAAUUUGACAGCCAUUCCAUCUUGUAUCACUCUAUCCCUACUGCUCUAUCUAAUUUUAUCAGAACCCAGUUUUUGAGAAAUCCAAGUUUUCAGAAAUUGUUAUCAGAACUUUGUCGAUCUGUAUUCAGAAUUCUGAGAGAUCUCCACUCUCACUGCUCCUUCUUUCCUGUCCUCUCACAUCCAGUCAUUUUGUUAGAAAUUACAAGUAGAAGGUUGAAUAUACAGUAGUAGAAUUACAGUAGACUUUAUAGUAGAAACUACUUACACAGCCCUACAUUUGCAGUUUUAGUCUCAGCAUUACACUUUGGAAUAAACACUGAUAGUUUGGCUUACAGGUGAAAUUCCUUUGAUAAAUCAUAUAACAUAUACACCUUUUUAAAGGUUUAUUUGUAAUAAGAUAAUCUUGUUAUUCUGUAAUAUAUCCAAAGUGCUAUAUUCACAUAAAUAUUAGAUUAUUUCAAAUGCAUUUGGCUAGUCUGUUUCAUUGACUAUAACAUUUGACUGCAGUAAGUGUGUACUGUUAUUAUUUAAAGACAAAGCCAUUUCUGUAAGUGUAAGUGUUCAGCUGCAAUUAUCAUCGAGAAGCUGCCCUGGGGACCCAGACCCAGUUUCCUGACUGCUGCAGAACAUUCAGCUGAAGAAUCCUCAUUGCCUCUCAUUUGAUCACCACACCACCACAGCUGUUUAUAUUUGCUUUAAAAUUUAGAUAUCUGAAAAGCUAAGAGUUUUAUUAUAGUAUUUUGAUUGUUGCUAUUUAUUCUGCAUAUCCCUUUACAGAUUAACCAGUCUGGUUAAAAGAAAUAUAUGUAAGAUUAUAAACAUUUUGAAAAAGCUAAAAUAAAUCUGAGCCAAGUGUUUUGAGAGACCUUUGAAUAUCUUUCAUAUUGAGUUUAGAUUAAAGUCAACCUUGUACAUCUAUUACAUAUUCACAAGAACAUUUCAGUAACUGUACAUUUAUCAGAUUCAAUAGUAGAAGAGCUACAAGUUUUUCAGUGUUUCCAGGUUGAGUGUUUUUAUUUGUCUAUAAAUACAUAUCAGCUCCAGCUUGUACUUAAGCAAAAUGCCAAGAAAAGGUAAAAGGUCACAGGCCCAGAAGCUUAGAUGGCAAAAGGAGAAAGAACAGGUAAAUGUUUCUCAGAGUGGUGAGCAGCUAAAGGUGUCUGUUACAACUAUUCCCAGCCCAGAAGUGCAGCGCAAUAUUCAGACAUCCGCAGUGUCCUAUGCAGACGUGGUAAAGAGAGGUGCUCAGUCAGUGUCUGUACCAAAGGCUAAAGUACAACAGGUAAUCCAUACAGAACCGCAGGUAACUCUGCAAACGCAGCAUGAUGGAGAAGCUCCAGGACCGUCUCAUGUACAGGUUACAAACAGUGAAACUCGUCCACGAGUGAGUAGCAUCUGUGCAUCCCGAAGCCAGGCUUCUCCUAGGUAUGGAAAGUACCGGAAUCAGCAAUGCAUGGCUAACAGUUUGGUUUUCCUCUCAUUCUUACACGAGGAUGAAUUUAUU